GUGCCAGCCGCCGCGGUAAUACGAAGGGUGCAAGCGUUACUCGGAAUUACUGGGCGUAAAGGGUGCGUAGGUGGUUUGUUAAGUCUGCUGUGAAAUCCCCGGGCUCAACCUGGGAAUGGCAGUGGAUACUGGCGAGCUAGAGUGCGGUAGAGGGUAGUGGAAUUCCCGGUGUAGCAGUGAAAUGCGUAGAGAUCGGGAGGAACACCAGUGGCGAAGGCGGCUACCUGGACCAGCACUGACACUGAAGCACGAAAGCGUGGGGAGCAAACAGGAUUAGAAACCCUUGUAGUCC
RNAcentral lists this ribosomal RNA (292 nucleotides) under uncultured bacterium. Its description in RNAcentral is "partial 16S ribosomal RNA". It matches the Rfam family "Bacterial small subunit ribosomal RNA", at positions 505 to 796 of the family's 1533-position model. The record is from RNAcentral.